GCCGGGCUGGCGGAAUGGCAUACGCAGGCGACUUAAAAUCGCUCGCCCCUCCCAGGGCGUGAGGGUUCGAGUCCCUCGCCCGGCA
RNAcentral lists this transfer RNA (85 nucleotides) under Sandaracinaceae bacterium. RNAcentral describes it as "tRNA-Leu". It matches the Rfam family "tRNA". Rfam says of the family: Transfer RNA (tRNA) molecules are approximately 80 nucleotides in length. Their secondary structure includes four short double-helical elements and three loops (D, anti-codon, and T loops). Lineage: Bacteria; Pseudomonadati; Myxococcota; Polyangiales; Sandaracinaceae. The record is from RNAcentral.